Molecule: long non-coding RNA, 1307 nt
Filed under: Equus asinus (donkey)
Lineage: Eukaryota; Metazoa; Chordata; Mammalia; Perissodactyla; Equidae
Description: lncRNA (ENSEASG00005024922.1)
Source: RNAcentral
UGGAAAGAUUAGACUUCUCUCGUUUCUCCGUUAUUAAUCCAGGACAACGCAAGAGUUUCCUUCCUUGGGUGAAGUCACUCUACUGGAAUUGUGAUGCAAGUAACAAGAUUCCAAAGUGAAAGCUUAAAUGUGGAAGUUCCCAUAUGAUCCAUCAGACUCUGAGCAUGAAUUUUAAUGGACUCAGGACCACUUCUCCAGCGUGUGGGCCAGAGGUCACUGGAUUUCAGAGUGAAUCUUCCACAAACUGACAUGGAACCUGAAAAACUUGUUUAUUGUGUCAAGAGAGGAUGAGGCAGCUCUGAAUUCAGAGGCUGAAUGAACUGACUGCUCCAGGACUGCCUUGUAGAUACAGUCCAUUCAAGAAGGAGAAAGGGCUAAAUAUCUGGCUGAAUUUUGUCAGCGGUCAAGGCACUUGUUAUAAAAGCAUUUAGGAAGAAAACAGGGGCCACCAUUUGUUGGAGUGCAUGCAUAUGAAUGUGAUAAACACAGUGGUAUUGCAAAACCAAGACGAAAAAGGAUGAACGAGAAAACAAAUUUCCCCAAAGGUGGUGUUGUGACCCAAUCCUGGACGGGGAAACCAAAGGGCAAUCAGCUGUGUGUGUGUGAAGGGCAGAGGAGAGCUUCUGAGGAUGUUUCUGCUUUCUGAUACAAAGACAGACAUUGCUGGUGCUGUGUACUACGCUCUUCUUCCUGCCAUGAAUGUUGAAGUGAUGGCUUGUGAUGAAGCCGCCGUCCUACAACCUGGAGAGAAAGCCUUGCCAUUUUGAGCCACUGAACCAAUGCCAGAUGCCACUUACUUGCAGACAUUUUGUUAAAUGACAACAACAAUCUCAUAUUUGCUUAAGCCCCUGUUAGGUUACCUGUUACUGAAAACAAUCCUAACUGAUGCAGGGGUGUCUGAGUUUGUAUGUGUAUGCACAUGUCUAGGCAAGUAGAACAUUUAAAGGUGACAGUAGCAAGAUACAUGUUAAUUUGUACCCAAAGUUGGCUGGUCCAGUGUCACCUGGAUAUUUAGCAAGGGAAAGCAGGGAUGGAUUGCCAACUUCGUUAAGGUCACACUUAUAACAUGGGAGAGGUUAGGGAUCUGGAGUUUAAAUUUCAUUAAUUAAAUCUGAUGUUCAGGAGACCAGUCUCCCCAAAAUGCUGGCUAUAUUAUAUUGCGGAAAACAGUAUCAUGUGUAUUUAUCAAAAGCUAAGUUUAAGAAGAAAUCUGCUUUUCAUUUUCAAUGUUAACCUCAUUUUAUUUCUUUUUAUAAAAACAAAAUAUAUUCUGUUUAAAUUUUUGGCUAUUUGAAUAAAGAACAAAC